UAGCUGUAAUGGCUUGGUGGGACUGGAUAUCCCGAGAUUUCUGACCUGGGUUCAAACCCUACGGUCGGACGUGGAGCAACAAAGUGCCUCGCUUCGUGCGUCGGCAUUGCUCUGUGCUUAGCUCAACCGCCAACGAGUUUCAGACGUGUCCCGGUUUAUAUCGAUCUUUGCGGGCAGUUCUGGGUGAGAUAUGAGAAGUCUGUCUUUACCCAGAUACGGCAAUGGUAGGCGAGGUCCUUAAGGUAACUCGUCUCAUGUGCUCCUAAUGCUGAAGGGGAGAUUCAUCCAGCACAGCAAGAGCAACCCGUGAGGAGGCGGCCGGGAUGGCACAUGUCCUCGGUGAGAGUUUCUCUCAAUGCGGUGGGUUAUGGAUUCCCUCGUGACACUAGUCGCUGUGGAUGUCCCUUGGAACUACCUUU
This 419-nucleotide signal recognition particle RNA is filed under the name Lachancea fermentati. Its description in RNAcentral is "Fungal signal recognition particle RNA". It matches the Rfam family "Fungal signal recognition particle RNA". The record is from Rfam by way of RNAcentral. Lineage: Eukaryota; Fungi; Ascomycota; Saccharomycetes; Saccharomycetales; Saccharomycetaceae.